AGCGUGUGGUUUAAUUCGAUGCUACACGAAGAACCUUACCCGGGUUUGACAUGCAAGUGGUAGUGAUCCGAAAGGUGAACGACCCGCAAGGGAGCUUUGCACAGGUGUUGCAUGGCUGUCGUCAGCUCGUGCUGUGAAGUGUCGGGUUAAGUCCCUUAACGAGCGCAACCCCUAUCGUUAGUUGCCAGCGCGUCAUGGCGGGGACUCUAGCGAGACUGCCGGUGUCAAACCGGAGGAAGGUGGGGAUGACGUCAAGUCCUCAUGGCCCUUAUGUCCAGGGAUGCAAACGUGCUACAAUGGCGUGUACAGAGCGAUGCGAGGCCGCAAGGCGGAGCAAAUCGCAAAAAGCACGCCCCAGUUCGGAUUGCAGGCUGCAACUCGCCUGCAUGAAGCCGGAAUCGCUAGUAAUCGGAGAUCAGCUACGCUCCGGUGAAUACGUUCCUGAGCCUU
Molecule: ribosomal RNA, 450 nt
Filed under: uncultured Phycisphaeraceae bacterium
Lineage: Bacteria; Pseudomonadati; Planctomycetota; Phycisphaerae; Phycisphaerales; Phycisphaeraceae
Description: bacterial SSU rRNA
Rfam family: Bacterial small subunit ribosomal RNA
Source: RNAcentral